Molecule: ribosomal RNA, 484 nt
Filed under: uncultured bacterium
Lineage: Bacteria
Description: partial 16S ribosomal RNA
Rfam family: Bacterial small subunit ribosomal RNA
Source: RNAcentral
AUUGAACGCUGGCGGCAGGCCUAACACAUGCAAGUCGAGCGGAUGAAGGGAGCUUGCUCCUGGAUUCAGCGGCGGACGGGUGAGUAAUGCCUAGGAAUCUGCCUGGUAGUGGGGGAUAACGUCCGGAAACGGGCGCUAAUACCGCAUACGUCCUGAGGGAGAAAGUGGGGGAUCUUCGGACCUCACGCUAUCAGAUGAGCCUAGGUCGGAUUAGCUAGUUGGUGGGGUAAAGGCCUACCAAGGCGACGAUCCGUAACUGGUCUGAGAGGAUGAUCAGUCACACUGGAACUGAGACACGGUCCAGACUCCUACGGGAGGCAGCAGUGGGGAAUAUUGGACAGUGGGCGAAAGCCUGAUCCAGCCAUGCCGCGUGUGUGAAGAAGGUCUUCGGAUUGUAAAGCACUUUAAGUUGGGAGGAAGGGCAGUAAGUUAAUACCUUGCUGUUUUGACGUUACCAGCAGAAUAAGCACCGGCUAACUUCGUG